This 607-nucleotide long non-coding RNA is filed under the name Brachypodium distachyon (stiff brome). RNAcentral describes it as "long non-coding RNA (BDIS_LNC002808)". The record is from RNAcentral. Lineage: Eukaryota; Viridiplantae; Streptophyta; Magnoliopsida; Poales; Poaceae.
CCAAGCCAGCCAGAGGUGGCGGCUUGGAGGAAGAAGAUCCAGCGAGGAGAGGAUGGAGAAAUGGAAAUAUGGAAUGGAAGAGAGAGGAGGAGAGGGGGGUGUGGGUUUUAUAGCACAGGGCCACGGGAGAGAGCAUAUAUACUAGGGGAAGGAUCUGGGGGAUCAAGUGCCUUCCACAGAUAGCAGCGGUCAGCAGCUCAAUUCCUUCCCUUGGCUUCUAAGAAAUUAGGACGCGGAAAACACGUGCUGCGCCCUUCUCCAGUUGUGGGUCCUCCCACGGCUUGUUCUAGGGCCUUCUUUAUUUUAUUUUAUUUUAUUUUCUAUAAGUAUUGUUUUCCUAAUGAUGAUCAUUUUGGUUUUGGUGGUAUUACUUUGCUCUCCUUGUAUUUCUUCUUUUCAUGGUGGCGUGGAAUGGAUUGGUUCAAGGAUUUCUUGUUGUUAUUAAUUCUUUCGGGAUCCUCUGUUUUGUGAAUUCGUCGAAUUGUAUAAUGCAUGGUUAUAUACCAUCUCAAAAUUAUUUUGAAUUACAUAAAUAUACAAAAUAAUUUCUACAAUCACGUUUACCCCAUUUGCAUUCGCCUGUUUUAUUGUUCGGCUAAUUAACCAA